GGACAGAUGGCCGAGCGGUCUAAGGCGCUACGUUCAGGUCCUCACCCCUCCAGGUGACCAUCAGCUUCGUAGUCUCGCAAGAGGCGUGGGUUCGAAUCCCACUCUGUUCA
Molecule: transfer RNA, 110 nt
Filed under: Coniochaeta sp. 2T2.1
Lineage: Eukaryota; Fungi; Ascomycota; Sordariomycetes; Coniochaetales; Coniochaetaceae
Rfam family: tRNA
About the family: Transfer RNA (tRNA) molecules are approximately 80 nucleotides in length. Their secondary structure includes four short double-helical elements and three loops (D, anti-codon, and T loops).
Source: Rfam by way of RNAcentral